RNAcentral lists this transfer RNA (42 nucleotides) under Picea abies (Norway spruce). RNAcentral's name for it is "tRNA-Ile". Lineage: Eukaryota; Viridiplantae; Streptophyta; Pinopsida; Pinales; Pinaceae. The record is from RNAcentral.
GGGCUAUUAGCUCAGUGGUAGAGCGCGCCCCUGAUAAUCGCG